RNAcentral lists this ribosomal RNA (613 nucleotides) under uncultured bacterium. Its description in RNAcentral is "bacterial SSU rRNA". The stretch from base 1 to 520 matches the Rfam family "Bacterial small subunit ribosomal RNA", at positions 338 to 873 of the family's 1533-position model. The record is from RNAcentral.
CCUACGGGAGCAGCAGUGGGGAAUAUUGGGCAAUGGAGGAAACUCUGACCCAGCGACGCCGCGUGCGGGAUGAAGGCCUUCGGGUUGUAAACCGCUUUCAGCAGGGAAGAAGCGAAAGUGACGGUACCUGCAGAAGAAGCACCGGCUAACUAUGUGCCAGCAGCCGCGGUAAUACAUAGGGUGCAAGCGUUGUCCGGAAUUAUUGGGCGUAAAGAGCUCGUAGGUGGUUCGUCACGUCGGAUGUGAAAAUCUGGGGCUUAACCCCAGACCUGCAUUCGAUACGGGCGAGCUUGAGUAUGGUAGGGGAGUCUGGAAUUCCUGGUGUAGCGGUGGAAUGCGCAGAUAUCAGGAGGAACACCAAUGGCGAAGGCAGGACUCUGGGCCAUUACUGACACUGAGGAGCGAAAGCGUGGGGAGCGAACAGGAUUAGAUACCCUGGUAGUCCACGCCGUAAACGGUGGGCACUAGUUGUGGGGACCUUCCACGGUCUCUGCGACGCAGCUACGCAUAGUCGCCCGCCGUCGGGAGGUACGAGUCGCGAAGAAUUAAAACGUUAAAAGGUAAAGUUAGACGGCGUGAGACGUGCCGAACGGACGACGACGAGGGAGGUAGG